UACGUAGGUGGCAAGCGUUGUCCGGAUUUACUGGGCGUAAAGAGCGCGCAGGCGGUCGUUCAAGUCGCGUGUGAAAGCCCCCGGCUCAACUGGGGAGGGUCACGCGAUACUGAUCGACUCGAAGGCAGGAGAGGGAAGUGGAAUUCCCGGUGUAGUGGUGAAAUGCGUAGAUAUCGGGAGGAACACCAGUGGCGAAGGCGGUUCUCUGGGACGGUACUGACGCUGAGACGCGAAAGCGUGGGGAGCGAACAGG
This 253-nucleotide ribosomal RNA is filed under the name uncultured bacterium. RNAcentral's name for it is "partial 16S ribosomal RNA". It matches the Rfam family "Bacterial small subunit ribosomal RNA", at positions 524 to 776 of the family's 1533-position model. The record is from RNAcentral.